RNAcentral lists this ribosomal RNA (926 nucleotides) under uncultured organism. RNAcentral's name for it is "bacterial SSU rRNA". It matches the Rfam family "Bacterial small subunit ribosomal RNA", at positions 1 to 917 of the family's 1533-position model. The record is from RNAcentral.
UGGAUCCAGACUUUGAUUCUGGCUCAGGAUGAACGCUAGCUACAGGCUUAACACAUGCAAGUCGAGGGGAGACGACAUUGGAAGCUUGCUUCCGAUGGGCGUCGACCGGCGCACGGGUGAGUAACGCGUAUCCAACCUGCCCACCACUCGGGAAUAACCUUGCGAAAGUAAGACUAAUGCCCAAUGAGAUUGAGUGCAGACAUCUAAUCUCAAUUAAAGAUUCAUCGGUGAUGGAUGGGGAUGCGUCCGAUUAGCUUGUUGGCGGGGUAACGGCCCACCAAGGCAACGAUCGGUAGGGGUUCUGAGAGGAAGGUCCCCCACAUUGGAACUGAGACACGGUCCAAACUCCUACGGGAGGCAGCAGUGAGGAAUAUUGGUCAAUGGGCGAGAGCCUGAACCAGCCAAGUAGCGUGCAGGAUGACGGCCCUAUGGGUUGUAAACUGCUUUUAUAAGGGAAUAAAGUGAGAGUCGUGACUCUUUUUGCAUGUACCUUAUGAAUAAGGACCGGCUAAUUCCGUGCCAGCAGCCGCGGUAAUACGGAAGGUCCGGGCGUUAUCCGGAUUUAUUGGGUUUAAAGGGAGCGUAGGCCGCAGGUUAAGCGUGUUGUGAAAUGUAGGGGCUCAACCUCUGCACUGCAGCGCGAACUGGCUUGCUUGAGUACGCACAACGUGGGCGGAAUUCGUGGUGUAGCGGUGAAAUGCUUAGAUAUCACGAAGAACUCCGAUUGCGAAGGCAGCUCACGGGAGCGCAACUGACGCUGAAGCUCGAAAGUGCGGGUAUCGAACAGGAUUAGAUACCCUGGUAGUCCGCACGGUAAACGAUGGAUGCCCGCUGUUGGCUUGAAUUAGUCAGCGGCCAAGCGAAAGCAUUAAGCAUCCCACCUGGGGAGUACGCCGGCAACGGUGCAACUCAAAUGAAUUGACGGA